Molecule: ribosomal RNA, 488 nt
Filed under: uncultured bacterium
Lineage: Bacteria
Description: bacterial SSU rRNA
Rfam family: Bacterial small subunit ribosomal RNA
Source: RNAcentral
AAAUGAAUAGACGGGCACCCGCACAAGCGGUGGAGCAUGCUGUUUAAUUCGAAUCAACGCGCAGAACCUUACCUAGGCUUGACAUCCUUGGCAAAGCUAUAGAGAUAUAGUGGAGGCUAUCCAAGUGACAGGUGGUGCAUGGUUGUCGUCAGCUCGUGUCGUGAGAUGUUCGGUUAAGUCCGUUAACGAGCGCAACCCUUAUCUUUAGUUACUAACAUUUAGUUGAGGACUCUAAAGAGACUGCCGGUAACAAACCGGAGGAAGGUGGGGAUGACGUCAAAUCAUCAUGCCCCUUAUGUCUAGGGCAACAGGCGUGCUACAAUGGCUGGUACAAAGAGUCGCAAUACCGUGAGGUGGAGCCAAUCUCCAAAGCCAGUCUCAGUUCGGAUUGAAGUCUGCAACUCGACUUCAUGAAGCUGAAAUCGCUAGUAAUCCCAGAUCAGAAUGCUGGGGUGAAUACGUUCUCGGGUGUUGUACACACCGCCCGU